CCUACGGGAGGCUGCAGUGGGGAAUAUUGGGCAAUGGAGGCAACUCUUACCCAGCAAUGCCGCGUGAAUGAAGAAGGUCUUCGGAUUGUAAAGUUCUUUAAUUGGGGACGAAAAACAUGACGGUACCCCAGGACUAAGCCCCGGCUAACUACGUGCCAGCAGCGGCGGUAAUACGUAGGGGGCAAGCGUUGUUCGGAAUGACUGGGCGUAAAGGGUGUGUAGGCGGUGUAGCAAGUUAGCAGUGAAAUACCUAGGGCUUAACUCAGGUGCUGCUUCUAAAACUGCUAUACUUGAGUGCGGUAGAGGAGAGUGGAAUGCCUGGUGUAGCGGUGAAAUGCGUAGAUAUUAGGAGGAACAUCAGUGGCGAAGGCGACUUACUGGACUGUAACUGACGCUGAGGCACGAAAGUGUGGGGAGCAAACAGGAUUAGAUACCCGAGUAGUC
Molecule: ribosomal RNA, 444 nt
Filed under: uncultured bacterium
Lineage: Bacteria
Description: partial 16S ribosomal RNA
Rfam family: Bacterial small subunit ribosomal RNA
Source: RNAcentral